RNAcentral lists this ribosomal RNA (586 nucleotides) under uncultured Methylobacter sp. RNAcentral's name for it is "bacterial SSU rRNA". It matches the Rfam family "Bacterial small subunit ribosomal RNA", at positions 338 to 916 of the family's 1533-position model. The record is from RNAcentral. Lineage: Bacteria; Pseudomonadati; Pseudomonadota; Gammaproteobacteria; Methylococcales; Methylococcaceae.
CCUACGGGAGGCAGCAGUGGGGAAUAUUGGACAAUGGGCGCAAGCCUGAUCCAGCAAUACCGCGUGUGUGAAGAAGGCCCUAGGGUUGUAAAGCACUUUCAAUGGGGAGGAAAACAGUCAGAUUAAUACCUUGGCUCUUGACAUUACCUUUAGAAGAAGCACCGGCUAACUCCGUGCCAGCAGCCGCGGUAAUACGGAGGGUGCGAGCGUUAAUCGGAAUUACUGGGCGUAAAGCGUGCGUAGGCGGUUCGUUAAGUCAGAUGUGAAAGCCCCGGGCUUAACCUGGGAACUGCAUUUGAAACUGGCGAACUAGAGUUUAAUAGAGGGGAGUGGAAUUUCAGGUGUAGCGGUGAAAUGCGUAGAUAUCUGAAGGAACACCAGUGGCGAAGGCGACUCCCUGGAUUAAAACUGACGCUGAGGUACGAAAGCGUGGGUAGCAAACAGGAUUAGAUACCCUGGUAGUCCACGCCGUAAACGAUGUCAACUAGCCGUUGGUCCUAUUUACAGGAUUAGUGGCGCAGCUAACGCAUUAAGUUGACCGCCUGGGGAGUACGGCCGCAAGGUUAAAACUCAAAGGAAUUGACGG